GACGAACGCUGCGGCGUGCCUAAUACAUGCAAGUAGAACGCACAGUUUAUACCGUAGCUUGCUACACCAUAGACUGUGAGUUGCGAACGGGUGAGUAACGCGUAGGUAACCUGCCUGGUAGCGGGGGAUAACUAUUGGAAACGAUAGCUAAUACCGCAUAAUAUUAAUUAUUGCAUGAUAAUUAAUUGAAAGGUGCAAUUGCACCACUACCAGAUGGACCUGCGUUGUAUUAGCUAGUAGGUGAGGUAACGGCUCACCUAGGCGACGAUACAUAGCCGACCUGAGAGGGUGAUCGGCCACACUGGGACUGAGACACGGCCCAGACUCCUACGGGAGGCAGCAGUAGGGAAUCUUCGGCAAUGGACGAAAGUCUGACCGAGCAACGCCGCGUGAGUGAAGAAGGUUUUCGGAUCGUAAAGCUCUGUUGUAAGAGAAGAACGGGUGUGAGAGUGGAAAGUUCACACUGUGACGGUAUCUUACCAGAAAGGGACGGCUAACUACGUG
RNAcentral lists this ribosomal RNA (504 nucleotides) under uncultured bacterium. Its description in RNAcentral is "partial 16S ribosomal RNA". It matches the Rfam family "Bacterial small subunit ribosomal RNA", at positions 28 to 507 of the family's 1533-position model. The record is from RNAcentral.